UACGUAGGUGGCAAGCGUUGUCCGGAAUCAUUGGGCGUAAAGGGUGCGUAGGCGGCUCUUUAAGUGGGGCGUGAAAUCCCCAGGCUUAACCUGGGAGCUGCGCUCCAAACUGGAGAGCUAGAGUGCAGGAGAGGAAAGUGGAAUUCCCAGUGUAGCGGUGAAAUGCGUAGAGAUUGGGAGGAACACCAGUGGCGAAGGCGACUUUCUGGACUGUAACUGACGCUGAGGCACGAAAGCGUGGGGAGCAAACAGG
RNAcentral lists this ribosomal RNA (253 nucleotides) under uncultured bacterium. RNAcentral describes it as "partial 16S ribosomal RNA". It matches the Rfam family "Bacterial small subunit ribosomal RNA", at positions 524 to 776 of the family's 1533-position model. The record is from RNAcentral.